This 382-nucleotide RNase P RNA is filed under the name Phycicoccus flavus. RNAcentral describes it as "Bacterial RNase P class A". It matches the Rfam family "Bacterial RNase P class A". From Rfam's summary of the family: Ribonuclease P (RNase P) is a ubiquitous endoribonuclease, found in archaea, bacteria and eukarya as well as chloroplasts and mitochondria. Its best characterised activity is the generation of mature 5'-ends of tRNAs by cleaving the 5'-leader elements of precursor-tRNAs. Cellular RNase Ps are ribonucleoproteins. Lineage: Bacteria; Bacillati; Actinomycetota; Actinomycetes; Micrococcales; Intrasporangiaceae. The record is from Rfam by way of RNAcentral.
CGAGCCGGGCGGACGGUCGCGUCGGUGGGUCUCCCACCGCCGAGGAAGGUCCGGGCUCCGAAGGGCAGGAUGGUGGCCAACAGCCACCCGGGGCGACCCGCGGGACAGUGCCACAGAGAACAGACCGCCGUCGGUGCGCGAGCACCGGCGGCAAGGGUGAAACGGUGGUGUAAGAGACCACCAGCGGCCUGGGUGACCAGGUCGGCUCGGUAAACCCCAUCCGGAGCAAGCCCAGACAGCGUGCGACCAAGGGCGGCCCGCCCGAGCACGCGGGUAGGGCGCUGGAGGCGGUCGGCAACGGCCGCCCGAGAUGGAUGACCGUCACCGGUCCGUCGGCGACGACGGUCCGGGACAGAACCCGGCCUACAGCCCGGCUCGUCCC